This 253-nucleotide ribosomal RNA is filed under the name uncultured bacterium. RNAcentral describes it as "partial 16S ribosomal RNA". It matches the Rfam family "Bacterial small subunit ribosomal RNA", at positions 524 to 776 of the family's 1533-position model. The record is from RNAcentral.
UACAGAGGUCUCAAGCGUUGUUCGGAAUCACUGGGCGUAAAGGGUGCGUAGGUGGCGCGGAAAGUCAGAUGUGAAAUCCGGGGGCUCAACCUCCGAAUUGCAUCCGAUACUCCCGUGCUAGAGAACUGGAGGGGAGUCUGGAAUUCUCGGUGUAGCAGUGAAAUGCGUGGAUAUCGAGAGGAACACUAGUGGCGAAGGCGAGACUCUGGACAGUUUCUGACACUGAUGCACGAAGGCUAGGGGAGCAAACGGG